CUACGGGGCGCAGCAGUCGAGAAUAUUGGUCAAUGGGCGCAAGCCUGAACCAGCGACGCCGCGUGCUUGAAGAAGUCCUUCGGGAUGUAAAGAGCUUUUCUGCCUGAAUAACCCUUCGGGGUGAAGGUAAGGCAGGAAUAAAGGGUUCCUAAACUCGUGCCAGCAGGAGCGGUAAUACGAGUACCCUAAGCGUUAUCCGGAUUUAUUGGGCGUAAAGGGUCCGUAGGCGGCCAGAAAAGUCUCUGGUUAAAUACCCAGGGCUCAACCUUGGGGAUGCUAGAGAUACUAUCUGGCUAGAGGGCGCUAGAGGCUGAUGGAACGGUCGGUGUAGGGGUGAAAUCCGUUGAUAUCGACCGGAACACCAAAAGCGAAGGCAUUCAGCUGGAGCGACCCUGACGCUGAGGGACGAAAGCGUGGGUUUGGAAAAGGAUUAGAUACCCUUGUAGUC
RNAcentral lists this ribosomal RNA (448 nucleotides) under uncultured bacterium. RNAcentral describes it as "partial 16S ribosomal RNA". It matches the Rfam family "Bacterial small subunit ribosomal RNA", at positions 339 to 795 of the family's 1533-position model. The record is from RNAcentral.